Hibiscus syriacus is the source of this 239-nucleotide long non-coding RNA. RefSeq lists it as uncharacterized. Lineage: Eukaryota; Viridiplantae; Streptophyta; Magnoliopsida; Malvales; Malvaceae. The record is from RefSeq and is a predicted model, not a curated record. The transcript is spliced from 2 exons.
AUCUGAAGCACAAUUUCAUGAGGAAAGAAGGCUUGGGAUUGCCAUUAUUUCAAGGAUGAUCUUGAAAGCUUGGACUUCAGUGUUGCAGAACUGAAGUUACCGAGGAUCAGGAGUCCGCAAAAUGGGAUGCAUCUCGAGCUGUUUUCUGGGUGUUUUUUUUUUACCUUGAAGAAUUUGUCAAUGCUCUCUCCUGUAUUGUAAAUUAACCAUGCACGUGGAAUUUAGUAUAUGCAGUGGUG